GAAAAUUUAAAACCUGGAUUAUUAGUAGUUAAGUUCUUGAAAAUUAAUAAAGAUGGCGGUAUUUUAGUCUAUUCAGAGGAAUCUGCCCUGUGAUUGAUAUUCCACGAUUUAAUUUACUUGGAUUCUAAGCUUAUAUAUCGCUGUAGAUUGAACAUUUUUAAUGAAUUUUGAAUGUUCAUGAUGUUUAGGGAAAAAAAAUCAAGUCAAGAUGUAGCUUAUAUCUAAGAAGAGGUGGAUUACAUUGUUUAUAUUUUUGGUCAAUUAUUUGAAAUGAUUAUUGUAAAUUGGAUUUGAUAGUAAUUUUUUACUAAGAUUUGAAAGAUGAUUCAAGCUC
RNAcentral lists this ribosomal RNA (334 nucleotides) under Coccotrypes impressus. RNAcentral's name for it is "partial 12S ribosomal RNA". Lineage: Eukaryota; Metazoa; Arthropoda; Insecta; Coleoptera; Curculionidae. The record is from RNAcentral.